GAUCCUGCCGGAGGUCACUGCUAUUGGGAUUCGACUAAGCCAUGCGAGUCGUGAGGGUUCGGCCCUCGGCUGACGGCUCAGUAACACGUAGAUAAUUUGCCCUUAGGUGGAGGAUACCCUCGGGAAACUGAGAAUAAUACUCCAUAGAUCUAGAAUGCUGGAAUGCUUUUAGAUCGAAAGAUUUAUCGCCUAAGGAUAAGUCUGCGGACUAUCAGGUUGUAGUCAGGGUAAAGACCUGACUAGCCUACGACGGAUACGGGUAGUGAGAGCUUUAGCCCGGAGAUGAUAUCUGAGACACGAUAUCAGGCCCUACGGGGCGCAGCAGGCGCGAAAACUUCGCACUGUGCGAAAGCACGACGAGGGAAUCCCAAGUGCUGGCUCGUAAGAGUCAGCUGUUUCUCUGUCUAAAAAAUAGAGAGAGUAAGGGCUGGGUAAGACGGGUGCCAGCCGCCGCGGUAAUACCUGCAGCUCAAGUGGUGGCCGCUAUUAUUGGGCCUAAAACGUCCGUAGCCGGUUCUAUAAAUGCCUGGGUAAAUCGUACGGCUUAACCGUACGAAUUCCGGGUAGACUGUUCAACUUGGGACCGGGAGAGGCUAGAGGUACUCCUGGGGUAGAGGUGAAAUUCUGUAAUCCUAGGGGGACCACCAGUGGCGAAGGCGUCUAGCUAGAACGGGUCUGACGGUGAGGGACGAAGCCCUGGGGAGCAAACGGGAUUAGAUACCCCGGUAGUCCAGGGUGUAAACGCUGCUCGCUUGAUGUUAGUCGGGCUCCGAGCCCAACUAGUGUCGGAGAGAAGUUGUUAAGCGAGCUGCCUGGGGAGUACGGUCGCAAGACUGAAACUUAAAGGAAUUGGCGGGGGAGCACCGCAACGGGUGGAGCGUGCGGUUUAAUUGGAUUCAACGCCGGG
This 907-nucleotide ribosomal RNA is filed under the name uncultured archaeon. RNAcentral describes it as "bacterial SSU rRNA". It matches the Rfam family "Archaeal small subunit ribosomal RNA", at positions 10 to 922 of the family's 1478-position model. The record is from RNAcentral.